GGAUAUGUGGCUGAGUGGUUUAUAGCACCUGACUUGAAAUCAGGCGUCUCGUAUUUGCGAGACCAGGGGUUCAAAUCCCUUUAUGUCCA
This 89-nucleotide transfer RNA is filed under the name bacterium. RNAcentral describes it as "tRNA-Ser". It matches the Rfam family "tRNA". From Rfam's summary of the family: Transfer RNA (tRNA) molecules are approximately 80 nucleotides in length. Their secondary structure includes four short double-helical elements and three loops (D, anti-codon, and T loops). The record is from RNAcentral.